GACGAACGCUGGCGGCGUGCUUAACACAUGCAAGUCGAACGGAAAGGCCCUGCUUUUGUGGGGUGCUCGAGUGGCGAACGGGUGAGUAACACGUGAGUAACCUGCCCUUGACUUUGGGAUAACUUCAGGAAACUGGGGCUAAUACCGGAUAGGAGCUCCUGCUGCAUGGUGGGGGUUGGAAAGUUUCGGCGGUUGGGGAUGGACUCGCGGCUUAUCCGCUUGUUGGUGGGGUAGUGGUUUACCAAGGCUUUGACGGGUAGCCGGCAUGAGAGGGUGACCGGCCACAUGGGGACUGAGAUACGGCCCAGAAUCCUACGGGAGGCAGCAGUGGGGAAUAUUGCACAAUGGGCGGAAGUCUGAUGCAGCAACGCCGCGUGCGGGAUGACGGCCUUCGGGUUGUAAACCGCUUUCGCCUGUGACGAAGCGUGAGUGACGGUAAUGGGUAAAGAAGCACCGGCUAACUACGUG
Molecule: ribosomal RNA, 468 nt
Filed under: uncultured bacterium
Lineage: Bacteria
Description: partial 16S ribosomal RNA
Rfam family: Bacterial small subunit ribosomal RNA
Source: RNAcentral